Oryzias latipes (Japanese medaka) is the source of this 314-nucleotide non-coding RNA. NCBI's taxonomy places the organism in Eukaryota, Metazoa, Chordata, Actinopteri, Beloniformes, Adrianichthyidae. The record is from RefSeq and is a predicted model, not a curated record.
CAGAAGAAAUCCCAGACAAGAUGCUUUGUAUUAUUGCUCCUUUUGUGAAGAUAAGGAAGGAUUUGAUAUUAGAUACAUUGAUUCAUUUAAAUGUCGAGGUGUGUUCAGCUCCCGGCCCUUUCAAAAGGGAGAUUUCCUUCUUGAAAACAGAGGACAGCUCAUAUCUAAAAAUGAACAAGAAAGCAGACUGAGAGUUUCACCUUCCCUGAAGGUUGUUAUGUUUGAUUUCCAGUUCAAUGGAAAGUUGUUAUGUAUUGAUGCUGCUAGAGAGGACGGGUCACUUGUAAGACUAAUAAAUGAUGAUGAAGUGAGCC